GAUGAAGAACGCAGCGAAAUGCGAUAAGUAAUGUGAAUUGCAGAAUUCAGUGAAUCAUCGAAUCUUUGAACGCAUCUUGCGCUCCUUGGUAUUCUGAGGAGCAUGCCUGUUUGAGUGUCAUUAAAUUCUCAACUACACUGACUUUGAAUUGGUGUGGCUUGGAUUUGGGGGGAAAAUUGUUGUGGGCUUUUUGUAUAGUCUGCUCCCCUGAAAUUGAUUAGCGGUACCUUUGUGGAACUGUCUACAGGUGUGAUAAUUAUCUACAUCUUAGACAUCUGCUGGAAUGCUGCUUUCUAAACCUUACUUGUAUUGACAAUCUUGAUCUCAAAUCAGGUAGGACUACCCGCUGAACUUAAGCAUAUCAAUAAGCGGAGGA
Molecule: unclassified non-coding RNA, 376 nt
Filed under: soil metagenome
Description: partial contains 5.8S ribosomal RNA, internal transcribed spacer 2, and large subunit ribosomal RNA
Rfam family: 5.8S ribosomal RNA (bases 1-120)
Source: RNAcentral